AUGAACGCUGGCGGCGUGCCUAAUACAUGCAAGUCGAGCGAACGGACGAGAAGCUUGCUUCUCUGAUGUUAGCGGCGGACGGGGGAGUAACACGUGGAUAACCUACCUAUAAGACUGGGAUAACUUCGGGAAACCGGAGCUAAUACCGGAUAAUAUUUUGAACCGCAUGGUUCCAAAGUGAAAGACGGUCUUGCUGUCACUUAUAGAUGGAUCCGCGCUGCAUUAGCUAGUUGGUAAGGUAACGGCUUACCAAGGCAACGAUGCAUAGCCGACCUGAGAGGGUGAUCGGCCACACUGGAACUGAGACACGGUCCAGACUCCUACGGGAGGCAGCAGUAGGGAAUCUUCCGCAAUGGGCGCAAGCCUGACGGAGCAACGCCGCGUGAGUGAUGAAGGUCUUCGGAUCGUAAAACUCUGUUAUUAGGGAAGAACAUAUGUGUAAGUAACUGUGCACAUCUUGACGGUACCUAAUCAGAAAGCCACGGCUAACUACGUG
Molecule: ribosomal RNA, 496 nt
Filed under: uncultured bacterium
Lineage: Bacteria
Description: partial 16S ribosomal RNA
Rfam family: Bacterial small subunit ribosomal RNA
Source: RNAcentral